This 222-nucleotide long non-coding RNA is filed under the name Vitis vinifera (wine grape). Its description in RNAcentral is "long non-coding RNA (VVIN_LNC003256)". The record is from RNAcentral. Lineage: Eukaryota; Viridiplantae; Streptophyta; Magnoliopsida; Vitales; Vitaceae.
GUAAUGACCGGGUAUUUUAUGUCACGUUAGCAUUUCUAUUUUGAAAAGUCUUAUUUUGAAUGAUGGUUGAAAAGUCAAAAAGAAAAGUGCCUGAAGAACACGUGUUAACUUUGGAUUGGUGAAAUUCGGUUUAUUGUGUUGGUCAAUUAGGUGAGUUGAAAAUUUUAUGCCAUGUCAGCCUUAGGGUGGAAAUUUCUUAGGAUUUUAGUAAUUGGGAAUUUC